AUUGAACGCUGGCGGCAGGCUUAACACAUGCAAGUCGAGCGGGGGAAGGUAGCUUGCUACCGGACCUAGCGGCGGACGGGUGAGUAAUGCUUAGGAAUCUGCCUAUUAGUGGGGGACAACAUCUCGAAAGGGAUGCUAAUACCGCAUACGUCCUACGGGAGAAAGCAGGGGAUCUUCGGACCUUGCGCUAAUAGAUGAGCCUAAGUCGGAUUAGCUAGUUGGUGGGGUAAAGGCCUACCAAGGCGACGAUCUGUAGCGGGUCUGAGAGGAUGUUCCGGCAAACUGGGACUGAGACACGGCCCAGACUCCUACGGGAGGCAGCAGUGGGGAAUAUUGGACAAUGGGGGGAACCCUGAUCCAGCCAUGCCGCGUGUGUGAAGAAGGCCUUAUGGUUGUAAAGCACUUUAAGCGAGGAGGAGGCUACUUUAGUUAAUACCUAGAGAUAGUGGACGUUACUCGCAGAAUAAGCACCGGCUAACUCUGUGCCAGCAGCCGCCGUAA
This 501-nucleotide ribosomal RNA is filed under the name uncultured bacterium. Its description in RNAcentral is "partial 16S ribosomal RNA". It matches the Rfam family "Bacterial small subunit ribosomal RNA", at positions 30 to 523 of the family's 1533-position model. The record is from RNAcentral.